AACGGCGUCAGGUGAACAAAAGCGAAACUAUGUUAAAUGCGUUUAAAUUACCAGGCAUAAAGCACAGAGAAGAAAGAUAGAGAGAGAGAAAAAACACAGCUAAAGAGCGCCAUACUGUUCUGGCCGUGUGUCGUUACGUCAUGAGGUGUGCCAGGUGUUCCACUGAUUGUGACAGUGAAGACAGCUAUUGUAGGAGGUGUGGCUACAAGCUCCCCGAGCAACGCUCCUUCGUUUAUCAGAGCACCGUCAGUAUGAGAAUGUCGCAAGGAGCGUUCGUAAAGUCAACCACCGUCAAGAUGACGUCAUCAGGAGGAGGCAGUUUGGAGCAAAGAAGCACCACCAUGAUGAGUAUUGGCACUUCCGGCAGACAGGCAGUACUUCCGGGACUCAGCGGUCGUCUGAUGCUGCUGAAUGUUGCCAAUAAUAAUGAUGAUGAUAGUGAUUAAUGAUCGGCCAUAUAUGUGCCAUGGGGUGCUGAUUUGCGCUAUUCAUUUCUGUUUAUUUGGAAGUAAACUUUACCAAUACACGAGGGGCAUGCAGGCUGUCCCCAAUUGUUGAUGUAUAAUUGAUGAUAAGGAACAAAUCAGGGAACAAGGUCCUGAUAUCAUAAUAAUUGAAACUGUGAUAAGAACUGAUAAGUCAAACCCAAUUUAUGGUGUUAUUAAUGCAAAAGCUUUUAGUGUUAAUUUCUUGCUUUGGGGAGGUAUUUUCACUCUUACAAUACACGAUUGUAUCCAGUUAAAGAUAUAUAUGUUUCACAAAGAUAUAUACGUUUCAUGAAUUGCGUGACAUUGUAUUAUUGUGAGUAUUGAACCUUGAUUGUGACUACAUGUAUCUCUUGCGAAAGAUAAGUUUGUAAUGAUACAUCGUUUGGUUAUUGAUAUAUAGCACGAUGAUACAGCGACACAGAGAAAUCUUGCUGACAUUUUGCGAAGAUCACCAUUGACCUAUUGCGGAUAUUCCAAUGGCUGCAACAGCAACAAACUGCUUUGUCGUCGUGAUUAUACUAUGGCGAAAAAAUAGGUUGUAAAUUGAAGUAACAUAUAAAGAUUGUGUGGCUUCCCAAUAACACACAUUAUUUAUCCACUUCUUCUAGUUUCUUAUACUACACAAUUAAAGUUAACCUGCCAAGGGAUAUAGCGAGUCUUCAAAUCUUCGGUCGUAAAUUUAUCUACUUUUAUCUGACUAAUUUCUCUGUCCCUGUAACCUGCAGAACAGAAAGAAAACAGAAAGCAUUCGUUCAUAUAUCACUUUUCGGGUAAUUUGAAAGUAUUUUCUUUGAUAUUUCUCUAAGUUACACUAUUUGAAAUCAUAGGGUGGCGUUUCAUCGGCUUUUGUGGCAAAAUGUGACUUCAAUUGCAUCUUUAAAGACUUUUUGGGCCUUUAUCUUGUUACCGACACUUUAUCAUCUUAGUCGUAACAUGUUUAAUAAAUAAUCAAAGACAUGUAGUGAUUAUAGCAGGAUUUUGAAUAAAGGAAAAAUGUCAUAACC
This is a long non-coding RNA of Lingula anatina, 1492 nucleotides long. NCBI's taxonomy places the organism in Eukaryota, Metazoa, Brachiopoda, Lingulata, Lingulida, Lingulidae. The record is from RefSeq and is a predicted model, not a curated record.